AUACAGAGGGUGCGAGCGUUAAUCGGAAUUACGGGGCGUAAAGCGCGCGUAGGCGGUCUAUUAAGUCAGAUGUGAAAUCCCAGGGCUCAACCUUGGAACUGCAUCUGAUACUGGUAGACUAGAGUUUUGGAGAGGGAAGUAGAAUUUCAGGUGUAGCGGUGAAAUGCAUAGAGAUCUGAAGGAAUACCAGUGGCGAAGGCGACUUCCUGGCCAAAAACUGACGCUGAGGUGCGAAAGCGUGGGUAGCAAACGGGAUUAGAAACCCUAGUAGUCC
This 274-nucleotide ribosomal RNA is filed under the name uncultured bacterium. RNAcentral's name for it is "partial 16S ribosomal RNA". It matches the Rfam family "Bacterial small subunit ribosomal RNA", at positions 523 to 796 of the family's 1533-position model. The record is from RNAcentral.